AAAACCAAAAGCCACCCUCCCAUUUGGAAGACGGAGCGAAACCCAAACCCCCAAACUCCUCCUUUCCGCCCGAUUCCAACCCCAAUCCAGCGGUCCAGCCGCCGCCCCCGCCGCCGGCCUCCUCUCCCCCACCCUCACCCCCACCGGCGACCUCCCUCCUCCGCUCUCCCUCAGUUCCAACCACGGAUGGGGAUGGGGAUGGGGAUGGGGCGACAGAGCCCGAAACCCUAGCCCCUCUCUUCCCCAAUUCCACCCACGACCCACCCAUGGAUGGGGAUGGGCCGGACCUGUUCCGGCGACGACGGCGCCGGAUCCGCACCCAACUACGGCGCCGGAUCCGCACCAGCAAGGCAGCAACGCGAGCGAGCCGGCAGCAUCGUCCACCCCUUCUCCCAGCGCACGGGGGGAAGACGACGGCGAGGUGGGCCGGAGACAUCUGCAGCAUCUCCGACCUCCCUGCCGGCCGACGGCCAAGGACCAUCCCAAGAUCACUCAUGCCCAGAGAGUGUGACCGACCGAUCUGUGAUUUAGUUGAUUGCAAGCAGCAGGCAGGUGCCCUCCAUGGACGGGAUGAAGAGGACCUGGACGUGGGGGACCCCACCCAUGAGCUCGACCAUAAAGACAUGGCCGAGUCUAACCCUGAGCUCGACGACGCUGGACAAGGCAGGGACACAACCGCUAGCACCUUGGAUGCCUACGAGGAGCUGCUUCGUUGAGGGACCGCACUGUCCUCUUCCUCCCAGAUCGAGCAGGUCCCAGAUCCGCGACGACCACAACGGUGCUCCUGGACGGGAGAGGAGGGCGACCAUGCUUCGACCCGACACCAUGGAAGCCCCUGGAGCGCGUCAAGGUCCUUCUUCUCCUCCCACAAAUGGUCAACUUGGUGCUGCUCCCUCUGCAGUGUAGGAGAACAAUACCCAUGGAGAUUCAUGGAGUAGGCUAUGUCAUCCUCUAACCACCAUGAUUGGCUGCUACCGGCGAGGCAAGAUUGUAUGGUCGAGAAGGUCGGUGUUGACAACAGCGCUGAAGCUAUGCGUCCUCCCCUACAAGCAGUAUGGAUCCGCCAUGGCUGGACUAAGUGUAUGAUUCAAGGAUCUCCAUUGGAAAGAAUGUGCCAAGCAAGUAGCACAUCAAGGAACCAUCUGACCCAUCCUAGCUAGGUGGCUUUGAUAGGUCCAGGAUACACGCAGGUCGUCGGAGAAGAAUCUUUAGCAAGAAAGCAAGUCCAAGACACACGCAGCACUAGGAUCUUGGGUUGUUGGAGAAGAGUCUGCAGCAAAAAAGCAACGAGAGACAAGAUGGGAGAUCAGGGGGGUACCUGCCUGCAAUCCAAGGAGCAAAUCGAGGCCACCCCUGUGACCAAGCAAGAUGCUACAGUUAGAAGAGAACGGGCGCUCGCCUACGGAUUCUCCCAUUAGGAUUCAAGCAUCUCAAUUGAAAGGACUACGCAAAGCAAACGACACGACAAGGAAUCAUCAGACUCAUCCUAGGUGGCUUUGAUAGGUCCAGGACACGCGGGGCAUCUGAGAAGAAUAUGUAACAAGAAAACAAGUCCAAGACACAAAAGAUCUUGGGUCGUGGGAGAAGAGUCGGCAGCAAAAAGUCAACAAUAGACAAAGGGACAGUUUCUAUGAGAUGCAACCAUGGAUAUCACCUUGAUUCUGCUUGACGCCCAGGACCAGGACACUGAUGUAUGAUCAUGUUACUUUUGUGGUUACAUGGACUGCUAGGGCUACCUGCAUCUGCUCGUCCACUGCUCUGACGCCAUGGUGAGACGUAGAUCUUCCCCUGUUCCCACCCUAGCGCAGGCUGCUGCUCGUCAAGGUGCAUGCCUGCCUGACGAAACCAACAUCGAUCACAAGUGGCCAACCCUAGCUACUGGCGCACACCAGGGUUGUUUGUUGCUGGCCGUACCCGACAUGCACAAGUUUGUCUCUCCCUAGCUGCUCCAGCCCUCACUCCGCCGCUUGCUUUCGGCAUAGGCAGUUUGCUGUCUUCUGGUUGCGCGAAGGAGGCCAUGGAGAAGUUGCCGCCGACCUAUGGUGUGCACCAGAAGGUGAACUCAAGGAGAGUUUGAUCUUCUCAGCGCCCUGGUGGUUGUGAUUAUCUAUCUGGGUUCGCCAGGAAAAUCACGAUAUUUUUGGGCACCCCGUGAUUGAAGAGUGGAUCCUGUUUGCUGCAAUCUUUAAUGGAAAACAGAAGUAGUAUGGUGUAAUGUGUUUCCCCAUGGUGAUAGGGUUUUUUGUUUUGGUCGUUUCUGGGAUGAUGCAUAUGUGGAUAAAUCUGAACGACAUCCAAUGACUGUAUGAAUAAGGCCGAUCAAAAUUAUUGUCUGCCAUUGAAAUUAAGAUGCAAUCAAGCCAAUGAUUUUUUCUGGUUGAUGAUCUGAA
Triticum aestivum (bread wheat) is the source of this 2390-nucleotide long non-coding RNA. RefSeq lists it as uncharacterized. Lineage: Eukaryota; Viridiplantae; Streptophyta; Magnoliopsida; Poales; Poaceae. The record is from RefSeq and is a predicted model, not a curated record. The transcript has 13 exons.